RNAcentral lists this ribosomal RNA (253 nucleotides) under uncultured bacterium. RNAcentral describes it as "partial 16S ribosomal RNA". It matches the Rfam family "Bacterial small subunit ribosomal RNA", at positions 524 to 776 of the family's 1533-position model. The record is from RNAcentral.
UACGAAGGGGGCUAGCGUUGCUCGGAAUCACUGGGCGUAAAGGGCGCGUAGGCAGCUGUUCAAGUCGGGGGUGAAAGCCUGUGGCUCAACCACAGAAUGGCCUUCGAUACUGGACGGCUCGAGACCGGAAGAGGUCAGUGGAACUGCGAGUGUAGAGGUGAAAUUCGUAGAUAUUCGCAAGAACACCGGUGGCGAAGGCGGCAUCCUGGACCGACACUGACGCUGAGGAGCGAAAGCCAGGGGAGCAAACGGG